This 682-nucleotide unclassified non-coding RNA is filed under the name Zea mays. Its description in RNAcentral is "misc RNA Zm00001eb177840". The record is from RNAcentral. Lineage: Eukaryota; Viridiplantae; Streptophyta; Magnoliopsida; Poales; Poaceae.
CCCGAGGCGGCGGCCCCACGUGGCCGGCGGCUGCGCCGCCGGGUCGAGCCCCACGAAGCUGCGGUACGCGCUGCAGAACUGCGGGGACACCCGGAUGCUGUAGGACGUGGACGAGCCCCCCGCCACGAAGGUGCAGCAGAGCGGCAGCGGCGCGCAAGCCGCCGCCGUGGACCCCGUGGCGUUGGCGUAGACGUGGCAGAGCGAGUUGGAGGAGCAGUUGAGCGGCGACAGCAGCAGCGCGCUGGUGCAGUUGAGCAGCAUGAUGGUGUUGGACGAGCUCACGUUGAACGGCAGCGACGCGUUCAGCUGCACCCCGCCGCCGCGCCCCUCCGACACGCACCUGCUGCCCUGCGCCACCAACGGCGCCGGCGCGACCACCAGCCGCUGCGUCGCGGCCGAGAUGGACGUGAUCCGGUACGACGUGCCGUUCAGCGCAUCGAACAUGAGCGUCGGCGACGACGUCGACGAGUUGGUGGCGGCGGCGCACCGGACCUUGUACGCCGGGUCGCCGCAGCCGUCGCCUGUGCUGAGCGGGUACGGCACGGCCGUCGACCCGCACGGCGGGCACACCCGCGCAUGGCUCGCCGGCAGCACCAGCAGCAGCGCGAGGAGAGCGAUACCCAUCUCGGAGACGGAGUGGAGGACCCAAAUGCUUACCUUGUCUCCUCGCGCUUGUCGUAUG